This 1009-nucleotide ribosomal RNA is filed under the name uncultured fungus. Its description in RNAcentral is "eukaryotic LSU rRNA". The stretch from base 664 to 1009 matches the Rfam family "Eukaryotic large subunit ribosomal RNA", at positions 1 to 338 of the family's 3401-position model. Lineage: Eukaryota; Fungi. The record is from RNAcentral.
GGAAGGAUCAUUAACGAAUUGUAAUGGGGGGGUUGAUGCUGGAGGCCGUUUCUUUGGCUGCAAUGUGCUCGCCCCCCUAACAAUAUUCAUCCAAACGCCACCUGUGCACAAUUUGGGGGAUGGUCUCUGAGUUUGAUUGCCUGUUCUUGGCCGACAGGUUUUCUUCGGGGGGUUCCUUCCCUCUCUCCCCUCAUAUAUACACACACUGCUUUUACAAUAUUGAACGUGAUUUGUGCCGCAAGGCCUUUGUUGCAAUAAUACAACUUUUAACAACGGAUCUCUUGGCUCUCGCAUCGAUGAAGAACGCAGCGAAAUGCGAUAAGUAAUGUGAAUUGCAGAAUUCAGUGAAUCAUCGAAUCUUUGAACGCACCUUGCGCUCCCUGGUAUUCCGGGGAGCACGCCUGUUCGAGUGUCGUGAAAUCCUCAAGCUUUAAGGAUGCUUUUUCAUCCUUAAGCUUGGUAAUUGGGCUUUUGCUGUGUGGUGCCCUUUCAUUGGGAAAACAGCUGGCCUUAAAAUCAUUAGCUGAUCCUCAUGUUGUGGCGUUGGUUUCUACUCAGCGUGAUAAUGAAUCUGACCGCUGGGGGGACAUCCUUCGGGAUGGCCAAUUCUCAUCUUGGGUUGCUUCUAAUUUGGCUUUUACAGAUCUGUUUAGCCUUCUGUUUUGACCUCGAAUCAGGUGGGACUACCCGCUGAACUUAAGCAUAUCAAUAAGCGGAGGAAAAGAAACUAACAAGGAUUCCCCUAGUAACGGCGAGUGAAGCGGGAAGAGCUCAAAUUUAAAAUCUGGCAGUCUUUGAUUGUCCGAAUUGUAAUCUAGAGAAGCGUUUUCCGCGCUGGACUGUGUACAAGUUUCCUGGAUACGGAACAUCAUAGAGGGUGAGAAUCCCGUCCUUGACACAGACUCCCAGUGCUUUUGUGAUGCGCUCUCGACGAGUCGAGUUGUUUGGGAUUGCAGCUCAAAAUGGGAGGUAAAUUCCUUCUAAAGCUAAAUAUUGGCGAGAGACCGAU